RNAcentral lists this transfer-messenger RNA (361 nucleotides) under Eggerthellaceae. Its description in RNAcentral is "Berryella sp013201155 Standard tmRNA". It matches the Rfam family "transfer-messenger RNA". From Rfam's summary of the family: Bacterial tmRNA, also known as 10Sa RNA or SsrA, is named for its dual tRNA and mRNA-like properties. Its role is to liberate the mRNA from a stalled ribosome. The record is from RNAcentral. RNAcentral also lists the same sequence under 1 other name. Lineage: Bacteria; Bacillati; Actinomycetota; Coriobacteriia; Eggerthellales.
GGGGGCGACUGGUUUCGACAUGGCAGGUUUGAAGUGAGGAGCAGGUCGUGGUCUCCUCGCCACGUUAAACAGGGGUACUGUCAAAUUAAUUGGCAAGAACACUUUCUCUGGGCGUUACGCCCUCGCUGCUUAAUUUACUAGCGGCCGUCUAACCUGGCUUUUCCUCGUCCAGGGGCGACGUCAUUCAGAGGAAUGCUCCCGCGCACGUAGUCGGUAUGGCGCGGGCUAAGAUCGAACCGGCUCGCAUGCCCAACGUGGGUCGGCGGACCGACGGCAUGCAAAACCCGAUUGCCGACUAAGCUUGUAGAGCCUCGCUGAUUCCCUGGUAUGGACCGGAGUUCGACUCUCCGCGCCUCCACCA